AAGUCGUAACAAGGUAACCGUAGGUGAACCUGCGGUUGGAUCAUUAAAAAAAUCUUCAGAAAAAUGGUUUGCUACUCAUCACUGGGUGCACUCCUAUUUUUCUUAACCCCAACCUGUCCAAUAGUCUGUGUCUCAUGGACUAUUGUGUGCAUCUUAAUGUAACAAAAAAAAAUUACAAAUUGGCAAAGGGUCUCUCUCUCGUGGAGAGUACCUUUCGCUAAUUUGUUUCAUUUUUUUUACACUAUUAAACUUGCUAAUUACUAAAGGUCAUUACAAAUCUUGUCUUUUUUUUAUAAAGAAAAACAACUUUUGGCAACGGAUCUCUAGGCUCUU
RNAcentral lists this unclassified non-coding RNA (333 nucleotides) under fungal sp. Its description in RNAcentral is "partial internal transcribed spacer region". The stretch from base 1 to 46 matches the Rfam family "Eukaryotic small subunit ribosomal RNA", at positions 1786 to 1831 of the family's 1831-position model. The record is from RNAcentral. Lineage: Eukaryota; Fungi.